This 441-nucleotide ribosomal RNA is filed under the name uncultured Oscillospiraceae bacterium. RNAcentral describes it as "bacterial SSU rRNA". It matches the Rfam family "Bacterial small subunit ribosomal RNA", at positions 338 to 795 of the family's 1533-position model. The record is from RNAcentral. Lineage: Bacteria; Bacillati; Bacillota; Clostridia; Eubacteriales; Oscillospiraceae.
CCUACGGGAGGCUGCAGUGGGGAAUAUUGCGCAAUGGGGGGAACCCUGACGCAGCAACGCCGCGUGAAGGAUGAAGGUCUUCGGAUUGUAAACUUCUUUGGCAGGGGACGAACAAGGACGGUACCCUGAGAACAAGCCACGGCUAACUACGUGCCAGCAGCCGCGGUAAUACGUAGGUGGCGAGCGUUGUCCGGAAUUACUGGGUGUAAAGGGCGUGUAGGCGGGGAUGUAAGUCAGAUGUGAAAGCCCAAGGCUUAACUUUGGGACUGCAUCUGAAACUAUAUUUCUUGAGUGCUGUAGAGGAAAGCGGAAUUCCCAGUGUAGCGGUGAAAUGCGUAGAGAUUGGGAGGAACACCAGUGGCGAAGGCGGCUUUCUGGACAGUAACUGACGCUGAGGCGCGAAAGCGUGGGGAGCAAACAGGAUUAGAUACCCCGGUAGUC